UCACCUGAAACGAAAUCAGAACACACAACAAAACGCUUUAUAAAAAUGUCAAAUAUUUGGAUUAAGAAUGAACGCUUUAAACGUUGUCUCGAGAAUCGCGACGGGGUUGGAGGUUUGUAGUUUUUAAAUUUUGAUACUCCUUGAAAACGCGAAUCGAUUGAGACAAGUCUGGCCCGGAUCUUGCAAAUGACUCGUGAGUUAUGAUAGUUUUCUAAAGGAUAUUGCAGGACAUGGUAAUGCCGACCGACGCGAUCGAGUUAUAAGCACUUUUCUGGAUUUUGGUCUUCUAAUUUUUGACAAGUCCCAAAUUGAACCAAGGAACGGGCGACUACGACUAUGCAAAUGUCCUUUGCAACCUUCAUAGUCCUUGACGAUUGGAAUUUUAUGACACCAUUUUCGACUUAAGCCUUCAAAGGACUCGCGAGAGUGCAAUUUGCAAUUUUACUUAUAACAAAACAGUCCUUUUAGCUGAGCUUUCCGAAGGACAUUUCAGGACCUGAGUAUGUCAAUCGAUGCGCAUUAUGAAGAGGCUCAAUUAACCCAAAGAACGCUCAAAUUGGCUUUAAGAUAAUCGAGUUAUGAACAUAUUUAUAUUUUUCAGACUUGCAAUUUUUUCAAAGUCCCAAAUUGAACCAAGUGGCCAAAGAACUGGGCAAAAACUAUAAAAUCCUUGAUAUCUCAGCUCUCUGCAGGACUAUCGAGAUGUCCUUUGAACCAACAAUGAUCCUUGAUAAUUGGAAUUUUUUGACACUACAUCCGAUCUGAUCCUUCAAAGGACUCUCGAGAUAUUUGCCAUUUUUCCUUAAACAAAAAAGUCCUUGUAUCUUAGUUUCCCAAAGGACAUUCGAGGAUCUGGUAAUGUCAGCCGAAGCGGGUUAUCAAGGACUACAAUCUGUCAAAAGGAAAUCCUGAUUGUCCUUGAAAUGACCGAGUUAUAAGGACAUUUAUGUUUUUUCCGAAUUUUUUUGCCAUUUUUCUGACGCCCCCUUAUAAAAAUGGAGCAAUAUUUUUGGAAGCGUUUUGAAAAUCCUUGAAUGCAGUUCAAUAGUCCUGAUCGUCAAGGACGAGAAAAGCUCUAAAAUCCACAAAUCCUGCCGCAGGACGAAAGGACAUGGUUUACUAGGAUGUCCUUGAUGAUCUUCACAGAUUGGCAUCAAAAAAAGUUGGGGUCAUCUAGGAAUGCAGUUUACUAAAUUUAUCGAAAAGGACAUUAUUCUCCGCUUUGGUAAGGACAUUCCAGGAUCUGGUGACCUCCAUCGAUGCGGAUAAAAAAGGAGUUUCAUCUGGCCAAAGGACAUUCCGAUUAUCCUUAAAAUAGCCGAGUUAUAAGCAGUUUUCUGUUUUUUAGACUUGUAAUUUUUAGCUUAAGAGAAAAGUUUAUAUUGCAUACUUUGAGGGUUAAUUAUACGAAUUUUUUAAAAAAGCGUUGCAUACUUAUUGGGUGUAAACGGAUUUUCUGUUUUUUCAAAUUUCGUUGCAUACUUUUAGGCGUUUGAGCGUGUGGGCUAGAAAAAUUAAAUUCUAUUGCAUACUUCGGGGCGUUUGAGCGUGUGUGGUAAAAUAUAAUUUCUAUUGCAUACUUUAAGGCGUUUGAGCUUGUGCCGGACCACACAAGGCGAAACGCCUAAAUGUAUGCAACACAAAUUUAUUUUUCCACCCCACACGCUCAAACGCCUAAAAGUAUGCAACACAAAUUUUACGAGGAUCUUAAAUAAGCCCAAACGCCUCAAAGUAUGCAACGAAAUUUUAAAAACAGAAAAUCUUUUUACACCCAAUAAGUAUGCAACGCUUUUUUUUAGAUUCGUAUUAUUUACUCUCAAAGUAUGCAAUAUAAACUUUUCUCUUAAGCUAAAAAUUACAAGUCUAAAAAACAGAAAACUGCUUAUAACUCUGCUAUUUUAAGGAUAAUCGGAAUGUCCUUUGGCUUGACGGAAGUUCUCGUCCUUGCUGAUCGAUCGAUAUCACUUGGUUGUGGAAUGCCUUGGUAACCACAACUUUUUUUGAUGCCAACCAAUAGAAAUCGUCAUGGACAUCGUAGAAAAUAUGCAACAAGGACACGUUUUAGGACAGGACAUCGUUUUUCGGAUCCUCCAGGAUCAAAACUUUCAAUCUGAAGUUCAGGACUUUAAAUACGCUUCCAAAAAUAUUGCUUACACUAACUUUAGACCUUGGUAAUUUACCGAAUUAGAAUUAUGAUAUUUUUGGAACUACACAUAAUUUAAAAUAAAGAAUACGGAUUCAAGGACUGUCAGCUCGAAAAGUUAACUAUAA
This is a long non-coding RNA of Drosophila willistoni, 2271 nucleotides long. RefSeq lists it as uncharacterized. The transcript has 3 exons. The record is from RefSeq and is a predicted model, not a curated record. NCBI's taxonomy places the organism in Eukaryota, Metazoa, Arthropoda, Insecta, Diptera, Drosophilidae.